This 467-nucleotide ribosomal RNA is filed under the name uncultured bacterium. Its description in RNAcentral is "partial 16S ribosomal RNA". It matches the Rfam family "Bacterial small subunit ribosomal RNA", at positions 28 to 507 of the family's 1533-position model. The record is from RNAcentral.
GACGAACGCUGGCGGCGUGCUUAACACAUGCAAGUCGAACGGAAAGGCCUCUUUCGGGGGGUACUCGAGUGGCGAACGGGUGAGUAACACGUGAGUAACCUGCCCUUGACUUUGGGAUAACUUCAGGAAACUGGGGCUAAUACCGGAUAGGAGCUCCUGCUGCAUGGUGGGGGUUGGAAAGUUUCGGCGGUUGGGGAUGGACUCGCGGCUUAUCAGCUUGUUGGUGGGGUAGUGGCUUACCAAGGCUUUGACGGGUAGCCGGCCUGAGAGGGUGACCGGCCACAUUGGGACUGAGAUACGGCCCAGACCCCUACGGGAGGCAGCAGUGGGGAAUAUUGCACAAUGGGUGGAAGCCUGAUGCAGCAACGCCGUGUGCGGGAUGACGGCCUUCGGGUUGUAAACCGCUUUCGCUCAUGACGAAGCUUUGUGUGACGGUAGUGGGUAAAGAAGCACCGGCUAACUACGUG